AGUGAACGCUGGCGGUAGGCCUAACACAUGCAAGUCGAACGGCAGCACAGUAAGAGCUUGCUCUUACGGGUGGCGAGUGGCGGACGGGUGAGGAAUACAUCGGAAUCUACUUUUUCGUGGGGGAUAACGUAGGGAAACUUACGCUAAUACCGCAUACGACCUACGGGUGAAAGCAGGGGAUCUUCGGACCUUGCGCGAUUGAAUGAGCCGAUGUCGGAUUAGCUAGUUGGCGGGGUAAAGGCCCACCAAGGCGACGAUCCGUAGCUGGUCUGAGAGGAUGAGCCGGCAAAAUGGGACGGGGGCACGGGUCGGACCUCGAGGGGGGGGCGGAGGGGGGAAUUGUGGGAAAGGGGGGGAAGCCUGGUCCCGCCAUGCCGGGGGGGGGAAGGAGGCCUUGGGGUUGGAAAGCCCUUUUGGUGGGAAAAAAAAGGAGGAGGGUAAAGCCCCGGUGUUUGGGCGGUACCCAAAGAAUAAGCACCGGCUAACUUUG
RNAcentral lists this ribosomal RNA (490 nucleotides) under uncultured bacterium. RNAcentral's name for it is "partial 16S ribosomal RNA". It matches the Rfam family "Bacterial small subunit ribosomal RNA", at positions 30 to 505 of the family's 1533-position model. The record is from RNAcentral.